CGCACUGUGGCUAAGCGGCCAAAGCGCCGGGCUCAUAUGCCGGAGAACGGUGGUUCGAGUCUAUCCAGUGCCC
Endocarpon pusillum Z07020 is the source of this 73-nucleotide transfer RNA. It matches the Rfam family "tRNA". From Rfam's summary of the family: Transfer RNA (tRNA) molecules are approximately 80 nucleotides in length. Their secondary structure includes four short double-helical elements and three loops (D, anti-codon, and T loops). The record is from Rfam. Lineage: Eukaryota; Fungi; Ascomycota; Eurotiomycetes; Verrucariales; Verrucariaceae.